RNAcentral lists this transfer RNA (59 nucleotides) under Amblyomma triguttatum (ornate kangaroo tick). Its description in RNAcentral is "tRNA-Cys". Lineage: Eukaryota; Metazoa; Arthropoda; Arachnida; Ixodida; Ixodidae. The record is from RNAcentral.
AAUCUUAAUUUUUAAAAUUUAAACUGCAAAUUUAAAUGUGAAUUAUAUUUCUAAGAUUU